This 250-nucleotide ribosomal RNA is filed under the name uncultured Chroococcidiopsis sp. RNAcentral describes it as "partial 16S ribosomal RNA". It matches the Rfam family "Bacterial small subunit ribosomal RNA", at positions 796 to 1044 of the family's 1533-position model. Lineage: Bacteria; Bacillati; Cyanobacteriota; Cyanophyceae; Chroococcidiopsidales; Chroococcidiopsidaceae. The record is from RNAcentral.
CUAGCUGUAAACGAUGGAUACUAGGCGUUGAGAGUAUCGACUCUCUCAGUGUCGUAGCUAACGCGUUAAGUAUCCCGCCUGGGGAGUACGCGCGCAAGCGUGAAACUCAAAGGAAUUGACGGGGGCCCGCACAAGCGGUGGAGUAUGUGGUUUAAUUCGAUGCAACGCGAAGAACCUUACCAGGGCUUGACAUGUCCGGAACCCUGCCCAAAGGCGGGGGUGCCUACGGGAACCGGAACACAGGUGGUGC